UCGAUUUACCUUCGGGUAUUGAGGAUGGCGGACGGGUGAGUAACGCGUAAGGAACUUGCCUCUUGGUCUGGGACAACUGUUGGAAACGACAGCUAAUACCGGAUAUUAUGAGAUUCUCGCAUGGGAAACUUAUGAAAGCUAUAUGCGCCAAGAGAGAGCCUUGCGUUCCAUUAGCUAGUUGGUGGGGUAACGGCCCACCAAGGCGACGAUGGAUAGCCGGCCUGAGAGGGUGAACGGCCACAAGGGGACUGAGACACGGCCCUUACUCCUACGGGAGGCAGCAGUGGGGAAUAUUGGACAAUGGGCCACAAGCCUGAUCCAGCAAUUCUGUGUGCACGAUGAAGGUCUUCGGAUUGUAAAGUGCUUUCAGUUGGGAAGAAGAAAGUGACGGUACCAACAGAAGAAGCGACGGCUAAAUACGUGCCAGCAGCCGCGGUAAUACGUAUGUCGCAAGCGUUAUCCGGAUUUAUUGGGCGUAAAGCGCGUCUAGGCGGAAAAAUAAGUCUGAUGUUAAAAUGCGGGGCUCAACUCCGUAUUGCGUUGGAAACUGUUUUUCUAGAGUACUGGAGAGGUGGGCGGAACUACAAGUGUAGAGGUGAAAUUCGUAGAUAUUUGUAGGAAUGCCGAUGGAGAAGUCAGCUCACUGGACAGAUACUGACGCUAAAGCGCGAAAGCGUGGGGAGCAAACAGGAUUAGAUACCCUGG
RNAcentral lists this ribosomal RNA (705 nucleotides) under uncultured bacterium. RNAcentral's name for it is "bacterial SSU rRNA". It matches the Rfam family "Bacterial small subunit ribosomal RNA", at positions 69 to 790 of the family's 1533-position model. The record is from RNAcentral.